RNAcentral lists this ribosomal RNA (1431 nucleotides) under Ambystoma mexicanum (axolotl). RNAcentral describes it as "SSU rRNA". It matches the Rfam family "Eukaryotic small subunit ribosomal RNA". The record is from RNAcentral. Lineage: Eukaryota; Metazoa; Chordata; Amphibia; Caudata; Ambystomatidae.
GUUCCGCCCAUGCACGUGUAAGUACACAGAUCUGGUACAGUGAAAGUUACAAAUGGCUCAUUAAAUCGAUAAUGGUUCCUUUGAUCGUUCUAUCUUUUACUUGGAUAACUGGUCAUUCUAGUGCUAUAACAUGACCAUGAGCGCUGACCGUUCGGGGUGCAUGCAUUUUUUCAUUCCGGGCUCUCCAGCCGCUUUGGUGACUAUAACCUUGGGGCAGUCGCAUGUCCCAGUGACGGCGCAAAUACAUUCAGAUGUUUUUCCUAUCAAUUUUUGAUGGUACUUUCAGUGCCUAACAUGGUGUCCAUGGAUAGCAGGGAAUUAGGGUUUGAUACCGAAGAAGGAGCCUGAGAAAUGGCUACCACAUGCAAGGAAAGCAGCAGGUGUGCAAAUUACCUACUACCGACUCAGCGAGGUAGUGACAAAAAAUAAAAAUACAUGACACUUUCAAAGGAUCUGUAAUUGGAAUGAAUACACUUUAAAUCCUUUAACAAGGAUCCAUUCAAAAGCAGGUCUGGUGCCAGCAGCCGUGGUAAUUUCAGCUUCAAUAGUGAAUAUUAAAGUUGCUGCAGUUAAAAAGUUUUGUAGUUGGAACUUGGGAUCGAGCUGGCAGUGCGCUAUGAGACGAGCUGCCACGUGUCCCAGUCCAUGCCUCUCGGUGCCCCCUUGAUGCUCUUGAUCGAGUUCCUGGGUGUCCGAACAGGUUAGUUUGAAAAACCGGUCACCUAAAUACUUCAGCUAGGAAUAAUGGAAUAGGACUCUGUUUCUAUUUUGUUGGUUUUCAGAACUUCAGCCAUGAUUAAGAGGGGCAGCAGGGGGCAUUCAUAUUGUGAGGAUAGAAGGGAAAUUCUCAGACUGGCACAAGACGAACCAAAGCAAAACCAUUUGCCAUGAAUGUUUUCAUUAAUCAACAACGAAAGUCGGAUGUUCAAAGACGAUCAGAUACCAUCGUAGUUCUGACCAUAAACAAUGGUGACUAGCGAUCCAGCAGCGUUAUUCCAAACCAAAGUCUUUGAGUUCUGGGGUGAGUAUGGUUGCAAAGCUGAAACCUAAAAGAAUUGAUGGAAGGGCACCACCAGGAGUGGACCCUGCAGCUUAAUUUGACUUAACACAGGAAACCUCACCCAACCCGGAUACGGAAAUUAUUGACAGAGUGAUAACUCUUUCUCUAUUCUGUGGGUGGUGGUGCAUGGCUGUUCUUAGACGGUGAAAAGAUCUGUCUGGUUAAUUGAGUGUCAUAAGCUUGCAUUGAUUAAGUCCCUGCCUUUUUGAACACACUGCCCAUCACUAAUAAAAAUUGGAUGGUUUAGUGAGAAUCUAGGAUCAGUCGCACCAUUGUUGGCAGCAGCCCUGGUGGAGCACUGAGAAGAUGAUCAAAGAUGAAGUAAAAGUCCUAAUGAGGUUUCUGUAGGUGAACCUAUGGAAGAAUCAUUA